GUAGAAGGACUUGCGCGGCGUCCGGAUCAGCCACUGGUUCCUCAUUUUUAUGCCGUCUUCCAAGUCCUCAAUCUGGCUGUCCUCUGAAAAAAGAAAAUCAUAAUAAUAAAGUGAUGGAAGAAUCACGCGUCUGUGCUGCUCACCGAGAGGGAUGAUCUUCUGUUUUUUGUGCCAGCGGCGGUUCAGAAUGAUGCUGCCGUACACCAGCACGUCGUUGAAGAGGAAGAAGACCUUGGGCUGUGGCCCCCGGCGGCUCAUCUUCAUCAGCCGGCCCUCUCCGAUCAGGACCCGACCCGGCUCGAACAGGGGCUUCCCCGACGGCCCAAACGAGCUCUCCACGGCGUGGAUGCGGUCCCGGUUAUCCUGGCCAAACAUCAGCUGGUUCUCCCUGGUGCCCAUUUAUAAUCUAGUUGACAAGACGACACGAGCUGCUGCUGUUGUUGUUGUUGUUGUUGUUGUUGUUGUUGUUUCUGCAUAGAUAGCUCCCAGCCUCUGUCCUGUGCUCGCGCAGCCUUCGUAAUGACACAUGCAGCGGCGCACCGGCGCUUUUCAAGUGUUGGUGACGCGUCGGGGGAAAAAAAUACGGGACUUCCCUGAAAGUAAGUUACAGCUGGAAGACAAACAGGUUCAAAGAAGUUGUCGAUACAUCAAUGCUUUCUUUCCAAUGUGCUAGUUGUAUAACACAAGUCCUUUCUUUUGACUUCCAGGUGGAAAUAUUAUGACUAAAACGUUGCAUUUUGCACCGUUUUAAACAGCCAGGCAACGAUAUGAGAUAUUUAGGUAAAUACACGUGCGCUUAAUAACAACAACAACCUGUUUAGUGGCCACUAAAUAUAUUUAUAGGACACAAAUGUGAGAAAGGGGAAAUCCACAACAACUGUGACCUGAAACUACGGACCUGAAAAGCACGUAGUUUGUUUCACAAACAAAUGUGUUUUUUCUUCUGGUUAGAAAACAAACAAGUCAGUUUAGUAACUUGAGUUAUGGGUGAUAAAGCAAUAAGUAUUAGCAUGUCACGAGGAACAACCCGCUCUACCCAAGUUCAUGAAAUUAAACACAUUGGUUUUUGCAAAGCACAGAAACCAAGUCCACCUGGUUAGACAGGUUCUCUUUAAAAAAAGAAAAGGAGGCAGUCCAUCAGGGAUGUGAGAGGCAAACAUGCACUUAGGCAUCCCCAGCUGGAGUUCAGGAAAGUACAGACACUUGAACAGGAUUUAUGACCAGGUUUCUUUUGAAAUAAGGGAUGCAGUACACUUGUGUGGUUACCACGCACGUUUGCUCCGUGCCCUGCUGCACAAUACAUAUUAAAUAGUGAAAUUAAAUGAGAUGAAUCAAACUAAAUACUGCUAUCAAACAGCGGAUGUUUUCUACCAUCUGGCUGCUUACAUUAAACUCCUUCAGCCCGCUGUGAGCAGACGUGUGGACAACACCACGAGCUAAAGACUGGGACUGGCUUCCUGCUGGAUGACAACUGAGCAUGACAGUUACAGCUUGUUGAAACGGUUCGAAACUCGAAGAGUUGAUAGUUUUGACGAGACUUUUCUUUGCUGAAUAUUAGUGUUUUUCUAUUAAAAUGAAUAAAACAAAACAAAUUCAAAUGUAACAAAAUAAGACAGAAAAAUAAUUUCUCACGUCUGCAUUUCAUUGUUUUUUGUCUAGCACAAAACAAUAUUAAAUGAUCAAAAAAGUAUGCAUUUAAUUUCAGGAACAUUAUAUAAAAAAACUAAACAUACAAUAAAUAAAUAUGACCAGUAAUUAAACUUGCCUGCUGUCUGGUUAAAGUGUCUCUGAAACACAACUGUACAAUCAAGUGGACCGAGUUGCCAAUUUCGGUUUUCAGACCCGACAAACCUCCCGACACAGAGGACACUAUACAACUGUAUGACUGGCUGAUUCACACUCCCCAUGACAAGUAAACAGAGUGCCAUGUUGGUGGAGUUCACCGCUCACAUAAAGUGACACCUAUUUGUGAAAGUCGGCCAUAUUCAGUUUGGUGUUAACAGAACCAAAAACUGAAAUAUAUAUAUAUAUAUAUUUUUUACAGUCCAGUAAAUGGCCUCAAUGCAUCCGCUACACGUCGGUCCCUGCCGUUGCCGUUCUCUCCGUCUCUCCGCGUGGUUGACGCCUCACAAGUCGAUGGUUCCUCUCACUUUGAACUUCUUGGCCGAGCGCUCGCUGGCUCGCUGCUCAAACCGGCUCCCGUAGAUGUGCGAGACGAAGCCGUUGAUCUCCACCUCGAACACGCUGUUCCUCUUGGGGAUCACUGUGACGGGACAAGUGCAAGGGGGCCGUCAAGCCAACUGUCCAGAGGUUUACUCGGGAACUGGCUGCACAAUACUGUUGUGUGAAGACAUACGGAAGAUCAAAUGUCAACAUGAACCAUUUGAAUUUGACCAAGAAUCGGUCAUGUGCUUUUUAAAGGUUCUUUGUACGAGAUGUGUGUGUGGAAACCCGAGCCUCUGACAAUGUUCACUGCAAACAGUACAACUUGUUCAUAGCAGGAAAAAUAAAAGCUCCAACAAGUGUCCCAGUGAGCCAGAAAUGCACAACAACAUCGGUCACACUUGUGGAAGUCAAAAUGGCUGCUGUGAAAACAGUCUAUUGGGAUCCAGAAUAUCUUUCAGUUGCACUGGUCCAUCAAACCUUUUCAUUUGGUCGCACCAGCAAACCAUUUUAAGUGCACCUAAAAUGUUGACAUUUGUGAUUUGUUAACACUUAAUGCAAAUUAUUGUAAACAUGAAUAAAAGAUUAUGCAGAUAA
This is a long non-coding RNA of Cyclopterus lumpus (lumpfish), 2760 nucleotides long. RefSeq lists it as uncharacterized. Lineage: Eukaryota; Metazoa; Chordata; Actinopteri; Perciformes; Cyclopteridae. The record is from RefSeq and is a predicted model, not a curated record. The transcript has 2 exons.